CUUGCCUGUGAGCAAUUCAGAGCCCCAAGAGAUUCCCAAAGAAACUGCUGCUCUGAGGUUAUUCAUCUGAUGGGAAGACGCUGGUGAGAAAAGACAACAUUUCUGACAAAUGUGGUAGGACUAACGAGCCAUCGGAAUGGGAGAAAAAUGGAACUUCCAUCAGCAGUGCUUUCAGCUAGCUGGGUGAGGAUCAGGUACUUCAGAGGUGACGAGGGUGAACUCAGCCCAAUAGGAGAGCUGACUCCAUGGUGAGUGGCAGCCAGCCAGCCAAUGAGAAUGAGUCAAGGAGAAAGAAGGUGGGUCCUUAGAGCUGCUGCAAAAACUCACUUCAUAAUUUGUGAAACCUGCCUCACAGCCUGGAAUUGAGAACCUGGGAAGCCAGCUGCUCCUUUCCUACCUGGGUGUUCUUAAAAAUACAAUUAUGUAAAGUUUAAAAAUUAAAAAAAAAAA
RNAcentral lists this long non-coding RNA (450 nucleotides) under Bos indicus x Bos taurus (hybrid cattle). Its description in RNAcentral is "lncRNA (ENSBIXG00005008116.1)". Lineage: Eukaryota; Metazoa; Chordata; Mammalia; Artiodactyla; Bovidae. The record is from RNAcentral.